GAGCGACCGCUGGCGGCAGGCUUAACACAUGCAAGUCGAGCGGGCGUAGCAAUACGUCAGCGGCAGACGGGUGAGUAACGCGUGGGAACGUACCUUUUGGUUCGGAACAACACAGGGAAACUUGUGCUAAUACCGGAUAAGCCCUUACGGGGAAAGAUUUAUCGCCGAAAGAUCGGCCCGCGUCUGAUUAGCUAGUUGGUGAGGUAACGGCUCACCAAGGCGACGAUCAGUAGCUGGUCUGAGAGGAUGAUCAGCCACAUUGGGACUGAGACACGGCCCAAACUCCUACGGGAGGCAGCAGUGGGGAAUAUUGGAAAAUGGGGGCAACCCUGAUCCAGCCAUGCCGCGUGAGUGAUGAAGGCCCUAGGGUUGUAAAGCUCUUUUGUGCGGGAAGAUAAUGACGGUACCGCAAGAAUAAGCCCCGGCUAACUUCGUG
This 436-nucleotide ribosomal RNA is filed under the name uncultured bacterium. Its description in RNAcentral is "partial 16S ribosomal RNA". It matches the Rfam family "Bacterial small subunit ribosomal RNA", at positions 27 to 507 of the family's 1533-position model. The record is from RNAcentral.